Molecule: ribosomal RNA, 622 nt
Filed under: Rhizobiales bacterium D233b
Lineage: Bacteria; Pseudomonadati; Pseudomonadota; Alphaproteobacteria; Hyphomicrobiales
Description: bacterial SSU rRNA
Rfam family: Bacterial small subunit ribosomal RNA
Source: RNAcentral
AACGCUGGCGGCAGGCUUAACACAUGCAAGUCGAGCGCCCCGCAAGGGGAGCGGCAGACGGGUGAGUAACACGUGGGAACGUACCCUUUACUACGGAAUAACGCAGGGAAACUUGUGCUAAUACCGUAUGUGCCCUUUUGGGGAAAGAUUUAUCGGUAAGGGAUCGGCCCGCGUUGGAUUAGCUAGUUGGUGGGGUAAAGGCCUACCAAGGCGACGAUCCAUAGCUGGUCUGAGAGGAUGAUCAGCCACAUUGGGACUGAGACACGGCCCAAACUCCUACGGGAGGCAGCAGUGGGGAAUAUUGGACAAUGGGCGCAAGCCUGAUCCAGCCAUGCCGCGUGAGUGAUGAAGGCCCUAGGGUUGUAAAGCUCUUUCACCGGAGAAGAUAAUGACGGUAUCCGGAGAAGAAGCCCCGGCUAACUUCGUGCCAGCAGCCGCGGUAAUACGAAGGGGGCUAGCGUUGUUCGGAAUUACUGGGCGUAAAGCGCACGUAGGCGGACAUUUAAGUCAGGGGUGAAAUCCCAGAGCUCAACUCUGGAACUGCCUUUGAUACUGGGUGUCUUGAGUAUGGAAGAGGUGAGUGGAAUUCCGAGUGUAGAGGUGAAAUUCGUAGAUAUUCGGA